Molecule: long non-coding RNA, 557 nt
Organism: Asparagus officinalis (garden asparagus)
Lineage: Eukaryota; Viridiplantae; Streptophyta; Magnoliopsida; Asparagales; Asparagaceae
Exons: 4
Source: RefSeq, a predicted model, not a curated record
GUGGGCCAGAUGUACUAUCAUGGCUUACGGUUGCGGAAGAACGAGCCAAAGGCGAAGGCUUGGAUUAGCAAAGUGUCAAAGUAUCGACCUUCAGUAUGGAAAGUCAGCAAAAAAAGACCAGGUUAUAAUGCAAGUGACUCAGAUUCUGACGAAGUAGAGAAUGACAAUAAUCGAUGAUUCAAUUUGAUUGGAGUUUAUAAAGAAAUGUAGUUCUCGCGCUGAUCGCUGGCUCAUAAAUAUCCUCAUGGCUGUACUAGUGCAAUGCCUUUUUUGGGGUCUUUUCCCCCUAUGAAUCAAGGAGUUGUGCUUUCGAUUAUAUAUGACUACUGCAGAUUUUGAUAGCUGAAGAAAGUUUAAUUUGUCAAAGUUGUAAUUAAUAUUCCUCUACACUUCCCAAAUAUAGGAAACGUAAGUCAGUUUUGGCAUUUUGAUGCUUUCAUGUUGCUUACUAUGUCGGUGAGCAUAUUUACUAGUGAUUCUUGUGGCUUACAAACUAGUGAUGGAGGAGAUUGAUAACGAGAGAGUGUUUUAAAUAUUAUUUAGCAGCCGAGAUUGAA